RNAcentral lists this ribosomal RNA (253 nucleotides) under uncultured bacterium. RNAcentral's name for it is "partial 16S ribosomal RNA". It matches the Rfam family "Bacterial small subunit ribosomal RNA", at positions 524 to 776 of the family's 1533-position model. The record is from RNAcentral.
UACAGAGGAUGCAAGCGUUAUCCGGAAUGAUUGGGCGUAAAGCGUCUGUAGGUGGCUUUUUAAGUCCGCCGUCAAAUCCCAGGGCUCAACUCUGGACAGGCGGUGGAAACUACCAAGCUGGAGUACGGUAGGGGCAGAGGGAAUUUCCGGUGGAGCGGUGAAAUGCGUAGAGAUCGGAAAGAACACCAACGGCGAAAGCGGCCUUCUGGACCAAUACUGACGCUCAUGCACGAAAGCGUGGGGAGCAAACAGG